Non-coding RNA from Schistosoma mattheei, 45 nucleotides. NCBI's taxonomy places the organism in Eukaryota, Metazoa, Platyhelminthes, Trematoda, Strigeidida, Schistosomatidae. The record is from Rfam.
AUCCAGUUGACGAGUCUUAAAUGGGACGGAACAGGCGUCCUGGAU